GACAGAGGGUGCAAACGUUGUUCGGAAUUACUGGGCGUAAAGCGCGUGUAGGCGGUCGUGCAAGUCGGGUGUGAAAGCCCAUAGCUCAACUAUGGAAGUGCAUUCGAUACUGCGCGACUCGAGUCCCGGAGAGGAUGGUGGAAUUCUCGGUGUAGAGGUGAAAUUCGUAGAUAUCGAGAGGAACACCGGUGGCGAAGGCGGCCAUCUGGACGGUGACUGACGCUGAGACGCGAAAGCGUGGGGAGCAAACAGG
Molecule: ribosomal RNA, 253 nt
Filed under: uncultured bacterium
Lineage: Bacteria
Description: partial 16S ribosomal RNA
Rfam family: Bacterial small subunit ribosomal RNA
Source: RNAcentral